Molecule: ribosomal RNA, 332 nt
Filed under: uncultured bacterium
Lineage: Bacteria
Description: bacterial SSU rRNA
Rfam family: Bacterial small subunit ribosomal RNA
Source: RNAcentral
UGCGUAGGCGGUUGGGUAAGUCGCGUGUGAAAGCCCGGGGCUCAACCCCGGAGCUGCAUGCGAGACUGCCCGGCUCGAGCACGGUAGAGGCGGGCGGAAUUCCUGGUGUAGCGGUGGAAUGCGUAGAUAUCAGGAAGAACACCGGUGGCGAAGGCGGCUCGCUGGGCCGUUGCUGACGCUGAGGCACGAAAGCGUGGGGAGCAAACAGGAUUAGAUACCCUGGUAGUCCACGCCCUAAACGAUGGACACUAGGCGUCGGGGGGAGCGACCCUCCCGGUGCCGUCGCUAACGCAAUAAGUGUCCCGCCUGGGGAGUACGGCCGCAAGGCUGAA